Molecule: ribosomal RNA, 242 nt
Filed under: uncultured bacterium
Lineage: Bacteria
Description: partial 16S ribosomal RNA
Rfam family: Bacterial small subunit ribosomal RNA
Source: RNAcentral
CGGCCGCGUCGACGGCCUACCAAGGCAUCGAUCAGUAGCUGGUCUGAGAGGACGACCAGCCACACUGGAACUGAGACACGGUCCAGACUCCUACGGGAGGCAGCAGUGGGGAAUUUGGACAAUGGGCGAAAGCCUGAUCCAGCAAUGCCGCGUGAGUGAAGAAGGCCUCGGUGUAAGCUCUUUGUCUGGAAGAAGUAGUGAAGCAACCUGACAGUCGUGGAGGCAAGGCACACAGGGAUAGG